UCAACAUCCUCGAUGGAGUAG
This is a non-coding RNA of Caenorhabditis elegans, 21 nucleotides long. NCBI's taxonomy places the organism in Eukaryota, Metazoa, Nematoda, Chromadorea, Rhabditida, Rhabditidae. The record is from Ensembl.